CUACACAUGCAGUCGACGGCAGCACAGUAAGAGCUUGCUCUUAUGGGUGGCGAGUGGCGGACGGGUGAGGAAUACAUCGGAAUCUACCUUUUCGUGGGGGAUAACGUAGGGAAACUUACGCUAAUACCGCAUACGACCUUCGGGUGAAAGCAGGGGACCUUCGGGCCUUGCGCGGAUAGAUGAGCCGAUGUCGGAUUAGCUAGUUGGCGGGGUAAAGGCCCACCAAGGCGACGAUCCGUAGCUGGUCUGAGAGGAUGAUCAGCCACACUGGAACUGAGACACGGUCCAGACUCCUACGGGAGGCAGCAGUGGGGAAUAUUGGACAAUGGGCGCAAGCCUGAUCCAGCCAUACCGCGUGGGUGAAGAAGGCCUUCGGGUUGUAAAGCCCUUUUGUUGGGAAAGAAAAGCAGUCGAUUAAUACUCGGUUGUUCUGACGGUACCCAAAGAAUAAGCACCGGCUAACUUCGUGCCAGCAGCCGCGGUAAUACGAAGGGUGCAAGCGUUACUCGGAAUUACUGGGCGUAAAGCGUGCGUAGGUGGUUGUUUAAGUCUGUUGUGAAAGCCCUGGG
This 569-nucleotide ribosomal RNA is filed under the name bacterium amp-w-7. RNAcentral's name for it is "bacterial SSU rRNA". It matches the Rfam family "Bacterial small subunit ribosomal RNA", at positions 49 to 607 of the family's 1533-position model. The record is from RNAcentral.